CAGCAAACUCUUAUCGUUUUCUUAAUAUGAAAGCUUGAAAUUGCAGCGUAAAUUUUUUUUGCACUCGGUGACCUUUGACCUUGGGUGCAAAUUAAAGGUCACAUGAACUUAAGAUUAUUGGUGUAGGUCCCAAGUCUUUACGACUUCCGGUUCUCGAGAUACAAUUUUUCAAAAAUUGUGUAUAUUUUUUCAAGGGAAAUAACUCCUUAUAAGGGUUAACAACAAAAUGAUUGUAUAUGUUUAUUAUCAUUGCCAUCUGGUGUUGUACAUGUUGCCGUUUUCAAAUCGAUUCUAUCUUGAAUACUUUUUGAGAAAAAUGUAAAAGAAAGAAAUUGCUUCAAGGGGACGUAACUCUCAUAGAGAAUGGUGAAAUCCUUAGCAGCCUCAUAUGGCAACACAUCAUGAUGAGAUCUAACUUUUGUCCAAAUAAGGUCAUGAUAUCUUUUAAAACAACGAGGGGGGGCCAUGUCGAAAAAAACCAAUAAAAGGGAGAUAACUUCUAAAGGGGAUGAUGAAAUCCUACACCGCCUCAUCUGGUAAUACUUCAUGAUGAGGUCUACCGAUGGUCCAUAUUUGGUCUUGAUAACUCCAAUAGAAACGAGGGGACGACAUGUCAAACAAAUGCUGGAUGAAAAAAAAAAAAAAAAAACAGGAGAACUAGUAUCUCAAUUGUUUGUAAAACAAUUGAAAGGUCUUUCCUGUAAAAGUGAUGUUUUCGUAAUGUACUUUGUAUGACCUUUCGUUUGAUAUACGACAAGCAUACCUUCUGAAACUUUUCGCUUUUUACACUUAAUGACCUCAUCCGCCUACAUUUUUGAGAUCGGAAGUAUGAUAUAUGCAACACAGGGUAGAUGAGCUUUCAUUUGAUAUGCAACAACGCCAUGUUCUAGAAAGUUUGAUUUUUGCACUUAAUAACCCCAUCCAACUAAUUUUUGGAGGUCGGGAAUUUGAUAUUUCAAAUGUACACAUCAUGACCUUUCAUUUGAUAUACAACAACCCUAUCGUAAAAGAAAAUUUAUUUUUUGCACUCAAUGACCCCAUUCAACCCAUUUUUGGGGGACGUCAAUUUGAAAUUUGAAAUGUACGCUUUAUGUUCUUUCAUUUGAUAUGCGACAACCUUACCAUCUGAGAAAUUUGAAUUUUUGCACUAAAUGACCCCACCCUUCCACCUGGGAUGAAAAAGAGGUUUAAAUUUUUCAUUUUUAAGUAGAGUUUAUUGAGACCUUCAAUUUGAUAUAUCAGAUGACCCAAUUUGACAAAGUGCCAAAAAUGAUGCAAUAUGAACGAUAUAAAUAGAAGUUAUGAAACCUACAAAGUCAAUGCAAAACAUGAAAAUUUCAAAAUGAUUUUUUUGGUCUUUUUUUCCAUGGAAUGUUUUUGGUAUUUGGUCAAACAUAUAACUAUGUUAACCUCUUCAAUUUCUUAAACAUUUUAAGUGGUAAGAUGUUGUUGAUUCAGAAAUACAUGCCGCGGCUCGCAAAAUUUCAAACUGCAUUAUCUCUAAAACGACAAUAGAUAUCUCAAAUCUGUUAAAUGGUAAAUGAUCUGCAGAUAAAGGACAACAUUAUAGUAAAAGAAUUGGGACAAUUUCAAAGUUCACCAAGGUCACAAUUAAUCAUCAAAUAUAUGAUGCAAUACCAAACUUGAGAACCGGAAGUCGUAGAGACAUGGGACUAUCACCAUUCAACUCAGGACCACUUGACCUUUCAAAUAUCACAAGGUCAAGGUCAUAGUAUAAUGUGAAGGUCAAGGUGAAAUUUCAUCAUGACCUGACAUUGACCUCAAAUUGAAGGUCUUGAAUUACUGAUCAUCUUUGCAGUUUAUAGUAGGUUGAUAUCUGUUACCUUUAAAAAGAUAUACACAAAAUACUAUACUUUUAAGAAUCAUCCCGUUGUAACUUUUGAACAGACAGUCGGACAUUUUUGGACUUAUCAUAUAAAAUGUAGAGCUCGUCGAGAGGAACAUUUUAUACGCUGUUUGUAUGCAGUAAAGUCUUAUCGUUUUCCUAAUAUGACAGCUUGAAAUUGCAGCGUAAUUUUUUUUUUGCACUCGGUGACCUUUGACCUUGGGUGCAAAUUAAAGGUCACAUGAACUUAAUAUUAUUGGUGUAAGUCCCAAGUCUUUACGACUUUCGGUUCUCGAGAUACAAUUUUUCUAAAAUUAUGUACAAUUUUUCAAGGGGAAUAACUCCUUAUAAGGGUUAGUAACAAAAUGAUUGUACAUGUUCAUUAACAUUGCCAUCUAUUCCUGUACAUGUUGUCCUUUUCAAAUCGAUUCUAUCUCUUAUACUUUUUGAGAAAAAUGCAAAGGAAAGAAAUUGUUUCAAGGGGAUAUAACUCUCAUAGGGGACGAUGGAAUCCACUUCAGCCUCACAUGGUAAUACAUCAUGAUGAGAUCUACAUUAUGUCCAAUUAACGUCAUGAUAUCUUUAAAACCAACGAGGGGGGACAAUGUUGAAAAAAAUCAAUAAAAGGGAAAUAACUCCUAAAGGGGAUGAUGAAAUCCUUAACAGGGUCAUUUGGUAAUACAUCUUGGUGAGGUCUAGCAAUGGUCCAUAUUUGGUCUUAAUAACUUCAUCAGAAACAAGAGGCGAGCAUGUCAAAAAAAUGUUGGAAGAAAAAAAAGAAAAAGAAAAUAGUAUCUCAAUUGUUUGUAAAACAAUUGAAAGGUCUUUCCUGUAAAAGUGAUGUUUUCGUAUUGUACUUUGUACGACCUUUCGUUUGAUAUACGACAAGCACACCUUCUGAAACUUUUCGCUUUUUACACUUAAUGACCUCAUCCGUCUACAUUUUUGAGAUCGGAAUUAUGAAAUAUGGAACAGAGUAGAUGAGCUUUCGUUUGAUAUGCGACAACACCAUGUUCUUGAAAGUUUGAUUUUUGCACUUAAUAACCCUAUCCAACAAAUUUUUGGAGGUCGGGAAUUUGAUAUUUAAAAUGUACAAAUCAUGACCUUUCAUUUGAUACACAACAACCCUACCUUAAAAGAACAUUUAUUUUUUGCACUCAAUGACCCCAUCCAACCCAUUUUUUGGGAGACGUCAAUUUGAAAUUUGAAAUGUACGCUUUAUGUUCUUUCAUUUGAUAUGCGACAACCUUACCAUCUGAGAAAUUUGAAUGUUUGCACUAAAUGACCCCACCCGUCCCCCUGGGAUGAAAAGGGGUUUAAAAUUUUCAUUUUUAAGUAGAGUUUAUUAAGACCUUCAAUUUGAUAUAUCAGAUGACCCCAUUUGACAAAGUGCAAAUAAUGAU
Molecule: long non-coding RNA, 3249 nt
Filed under: Mytilus galloprovincialis (Mediterranean mussel)
Lineage: Eukaryota; Metazoa; Mollusca; Bivalvia; Mytilida; Mytilidae
Source: RNAcentral